RNAcentral lists this ribosomal RNA (497 nucleotides) under uncultured bacterium. Its description in RNAcentral is "partial 16S ribosomal RNA". It matches the Rfam family "Bacterial small subunit ribosomal RNA", at positions 28 to 507 of the family's 1533-position model. The record is from RNAcentral.
GACGAACGCUGGCGGCGUGCCUAAUACAUGCAAGUAGAACGCUGAAGCGAGGAGCUUGCUCUUCUUGGAUGAGUUGCGAACGGGUGAGUAACGCGUAGGUAACCUGCCUGGUAGCGGGGGAUAACUAUUGGAAACGAUAGCUAAUACCGCAUAAAAUGGAUUAUCGCAUGAUAAUCCAUUGAAAGGUGCAAAUGCAUCACUACCAGAUGGACCUGCGUUGUAUUAGCUAGUUGGUGGGGUAACGGCUCACCAAGGCGACGAUACAUAGCCGACCUGAGAGGGUGAUCGGCCACACUGGGACUGAGACACGGCCCAGACUCCUACGGGAGGCAGCAGUAGGGAAUCUUCGGCAAUGGACGGAAGUCUGACCGAGCAACGCCGCGUGAGUGAAGAAGGUUUUCGGAUCGUAAAGCUCUGUUGUAAGAGAAGAACGAGUGUGAGAGUGGAAAGUUCACACUGUGACGGUAUCUUACUAGAAAGGGACGGCUAACUACGUG